GGAAAUUCUGUACAUCCAAGUUUGGCUUCAUCGCGAACUGUGAACCAGCAAAGUUUCUCUUACAGACCCAACUAUAGCAAGGCAUAUACUACUAACCUUACAUGACAUUUGUAAUUGGGUUGAUUGGGUGGGUGGGGAAUAUGCACAUAAUAAUUCAGCAACUGUGGUUGCACCUGGGAAUUGGUAUUCUAGAUUUCUAAGCUUGCAGCCUCAAUUGCUCAUUGCUUCACAGCCAUGGCUG
RNAcentral lists this long non-coding RNA (241 nucleotides) under Fragaria vesca (wild strawberry). RNAcentral's name for it is "long non-coding RNA (FVES_LNC000158)". Lineage: Eukaryota; Viridiplantae; Streptophyta; Magnoliopsida; Rosales; Rosaceae. The record is from RNAcentral.